RNAcentral lists this ribosomal RNA (293 nucleotides) under uncultured bacterium. Its description in RNAcentral is "partial 16S ribosomal RNA". It matches the Rfam family "Bacterial small subunit ribosomal RNA", at positions 775 to 1067 of the family's 1533-position model. The record is from RNAcentral.
GGAUUAGAUACCCUGGUAGUCUACGCCGUAAACGAUGUACACUUGGUGUCUGUUGUUUUGACGAUAGGUGCCGUAGCUAACGCGUUAAGUGUACCGCCUGGGGAGUAUGCCGGCAACGGUGAAACUCAAAGGAAUUGACGGGGGCCCGCACAAGCGGUGGAGCAUGUGGUUUAAUUCGAUGAUACGCGAGGAACCUUACCAGGGUUUGACAUAUACGUGACAUUCCUAGAGAUAGGAUUUUCUCUUUUGAGACAUGUAUACAGGUGCUGCAUGGUUGUCGUCAGCUCGUGCCG